This 485-nucleotide ribosomal RNA is filed under the name uncultured bacterium. RNAcentral's name for it is "partial 16S ribosomal RNA". It matches the Rfam family "Bacterial small subunit ribosomal RNA", at positions 30 to 506 of the family's 1533-position model. The record is from RNAcentral.
AUUGAACGCUGGCGGCAUGCCUUACACAUGCAAGUCGAACGGCAGCACGGGUGCUUGCACCUGGUGGCGAGUGGCGAACGGGUGAGUAAUACAUCGGAACAUGUCCUGUAGUGGGGGAUAGCCCGGCGAAAGCCGGAUUAAUACCGCAUACGAUCUACGGAUGAAAGCGGGGGACCUUCGGGCCUCGCGCUAUAGGGUUGGCCGAUGGCUGAUUAGCUAGUUGGUGGGGUAAAGGCCAACCAAGGCGACGAUCAGUAGCUGGUCUGAGAGGACGACCAGCCACACUGGGACGGAGACACGGCCCAGACUCCUACGGGAGGCAGCAGUGGGGAAUUUUGGACAAUGGGCGAAAGCCUGAUCCAGCAAUGCCGCGUGUGUGAAGAAGGCCUUCGGGUUGUAAAGCACUUUUGUCCGGAAAGAAAUCCUUGGCCCUAAUACGGUCGGGGGAUGACGGUACCGGAAGAAUAAGCACCGGCUAACUACGU